CGUGUAGGCGGUUCGUUAAGUCGGGUGUGAAAGCCCGGGGCUCAGCUCCGGAAGUGCGUCCGAAACUGGCGAGCUGGAGCGCGGUAGAGGAGGGUGGAAUUCCUGGUGUAGCGGUGAAAUGCGUAGAUAUCAGGAGGAACACCGGCGGCGAAGGCGGCCCUCUGGACCGUUGCUGACGCUGAGACGCGAAAACGUGGGGAGCAAACAGGAUUAGAUACCCUGGUAGUCCACGCUGUAAACUAUGGGUACUAGGUGUUCGGGGUGUUGACCCCCUGAGUGCCGACGCUAACGCAUUAAGUACCCCGCCUGGGGACUACGGCCGCAAGGUUAAA
This 332-nucleotide ribosomal RNA is filed under the name uncultured bacterium. Its description in RNAcentral is "bacterial SSU rRNA". It matches the Rfam family "Bacterial small subunit ribosomal RNA", at positions 568 to 898 of the family's 1533-position model. The record is from RNAcentral.